AGUCACUGACAUUAGAUACCCUGUAGUCCCAGCCGUAAACUAUGCGCGUUAGGUGUACUGGUGACCACGAGUCACCGGGUGCCGAAGGGAAACCGUGAAACGUGCCGCCUGGGAAGUACGGUCGCAAGGCUGAAACUUAAAGGAAUUGGCGGGGGAGCACCGCAACGGGAGGAGCGUGCGGUUUAAUUGGAUUCAACACCGUAAACUCACCAGGGAAGACUGUUACAUGAAGGCCGAGAUGAAGACUCUGCUAGAUUUUCAG
Molecule: ribosomal RNA, 262 nt
Filed under: uncultured archaeon
Lineage: Archaea
Description: partial 16S ribosomal RNA
Rfam family: Archaeal small subunit ribosomal RNA
Source: RNAcentral